This is an unclassified non-coding RNA of Pongo abelii (Sumatran orangutan), 148 nucleotides long. It matches the Rfam family "Metazoan signal recognition particle RNA". From Rfam's summary of the family: The signal recognition particle (SRP) is a universally conserved ribonucleoprotein. It is involved in the co-translational targeting of proteins to membranes. The record is from Ensembl. NCBI's taxonomy places the organism in Eukaryota, Metazoa, Chordata, Mammalia, Primates, Hominidae.
GCCGGGUGUGGUGAUGCGCACUUGUAAUCCCAGCUACUCAGGAGGCUGAGGCAGGAGAAUUGCUUGAACCCGGGAGGCGGAGGUUGCAGUGAGCCGAGAUCGCACCACUGCACUCCAGCCUGGGUGACAAAGUGAGACUCUGUCUCAA